Helianthus annuus (common sunflower) is the source of this 990-nucleotide RNA transcript. RefSeq lists it as uncharacterized. The transcript has 6 exons. The record is from RefSeq and is a predicted model, not a curated record. Lineage: Eukaryota; Viridiplantae; Streptophyta; Magnoliopsida; Asterales; Asteraceae.
UGCACCGUCCAUUCAAUUUUCAACUCCCGCUCAUACCCAAUUCCCCAUACAUCCCUGUCUUCUUUUCAUUUUUCAUUUGCAGAGGAUAGAGAGAACAAGAGAAGAGAGAAUGUUAGAGAGAGGGAGAAAGAAAGAGGUAUACAGAAGAUCGGAAGUAGCGUUGUGCUCAGGUGAAGUACUCAACGGAACCCGAAAACCCUACGAAAUGUUAGUUUUCCGAUUAUUAUUCUUAUAUUAUGUCCUAAUUUUGUUCGUGAUAAUCUCAGGUGAAGUACCGGCUGCUGCCAUGGAGCCAAUGCCGGAAAGUUUUGUGUCAACUGUGGAGGAUAGAAAGCUUGAAGAUAGAGAAAAAUGGUGGAAAAUGGGAUUAAAAGCAAUAUCAGAUGGAAAACUGGUUGUGCUGCUUUUAUCUGGUGGACAAGUAUUUAUUUAUUUCACUUUUUUUUUAUAAUUAUGAUUCAUAAUUCUGUUGGUUUGGGAACUAUUGAUCAUUAUAAGUUUGUAUAAUCAGCUUCUUCAGGUAUAUAAUCAGAAUUUGCAAUGUAUGUCUGCAUAUCUCCUUUUCACUUUAUUAUAAUGACAAAUUCUGAUUAUAUACUGAGAAAGUUCCGGAAGCAGCUUAUUCUACAAAUGAUCUAUGGGCAGACUUUCAAUCUGCUGUAGAAGUUCCAACCACAGGGGCCACUGCUGUUACAAAACCCAUUAACAAUAAGCCCAAGCCCGCAUCGGGUAUAAAUGUCUUAUUUUCUUUUCUUGCCAUUUCGAUCCGUUUACUUGUAACUGAGCCGAUACAUGGGAUCCUUGUGGUUGUUCUUUGCAAAGGAGAUGAGUUGCAGUAUGGUGUAGAUGAGUCACACAAGUUGUAUGUUAAUUCAAAAGGGAAUCCAAAUUAUGCACAUAUUGAGGCGGCUACGGUUUAUGGAGCUCUACACGUGCUGUAGGUGUGUGCUGGAUAAAAGUUUCAUGAGAAGAUGGCAUUUGAAAGAUAGA